Molecule: ribosomal RNA, 253 nt
Filed under: uncultured bacterium
Lineage: Bacteria
Description: partial 16S ribosomal RNA
Rfam family: Bacterial small subunit ribosomal RNA
Source: RNAcentral
UACGAAGGGGGCUAGCGUUGCUCGGAAUCACUGGGCGUAAAGCGCACGUAGGCGGAUCUUUAAGUCGGGGGUGAAAUCCCAAGGCUCAACCUUGGAACUGCCUUUGAUACUGGGGAUCUCGAGUCCGGAAGAGGUGAGUGGAACUGCGAGUGUAGAGGUGAAAUUCGUAGAUAUUCGCAAGAACACCAGUGGCGAAGGCGGCUCACUGGUCCGGUACUGACGCUGAGGUGCGAAAGCGUGGGGAGCAAACAGG